RNAcentral lists this long non-coding RNA (628 nucleotides) under Trifolium pratense (red clover). Its description in RNAcentral is "long non-coding RNA (TPRA_LNC012932)". The record is from RNAcentral. Lineage: Eukaryota; Viridiplantae; Streptophyta; Magnoliopsida; Fabales; Fabaceae.
UUGGAAAUGAGAGACGAUUGGGCAUUAUUAGGGUUCUAGAAAGUACCACAAGGCAACGUUGGACAUAAACUAAACUAACUAAAUAAAAGGUGAAAGAAAACUCCACCACCAAGUUCCCUUUCAUUCAUUUCAUCUCUCCCUGUAAACCCACAAAGCAACUCUCUAGAGAGAGAGAGAGAGAGAGAAAGCUAUAACAGCUUCACUUCCUCAUCCUCUCAUUCCAACUUCUCUCGCACACCAGAAGGCAGCGCCUACAAGGUUUCAACCAAAUCUCCAAAUACCACUUUACAGGUUUCGCUUUCUCUUUCUCUUCAAAUUCAUAUUCAACUACAAACAUCAUUUCUUACAAUUAUUAUUAUUCCACACAACACAACACAACACAACACAACAUAUAAGUUUUUAUUCAUUUCUUCAUUAUACAAUAUAUUCAAUUAUUGUCGUUUCUGUUUCUUAUCUAUAAUAACAAGGGUGCUUAUCUUAAUUCAUUACUCAAUUUACCAAUUUCAAUUUCCUCGUUCUUGUAAGUAAUUCAUUAACUUUUAGCUUCUGUUCUGAAACUGCCUUAUCUUAUUGUUUUUUUUUCUUAAUAUUUUUGCAGCCAGUGGAAUUUCAUAUUUAUUGUCUCUUU